UGGCAUUUAUCAAGAGGACAAUUUUAUUUGUACGUUGCUCCACAAGUUGCUCAUUAAUCACCAUCAGACGAAAAAUAGUUUUGAUCCUCAAAUGUUACCCUUUGUUUCGUUACAUUACAUUGCUUAGAUUGUUAGUUCCAUCUAAAAUAUAUUGUCUCUAAGUAUAAAAGAUGCGCAUCAAUUCUAUUUUGUUUGUUCUCCUUUUUUUUGGUUUUUUUAAAAAUACAGACACAAAUAUUUUCUCUAAAACGAGCUCUCAGCAUGGUAAAAAACAUUCGGUUUUCCUAUGCAUAAAUGUUUAGUUUAAAGGCACGAACUUUCGUUUCAUGCUUUCUUCGUGUAAGAGAAAUUAAAAAAGACGUUGUAUGAGCUUUCGGAUUUUUAUUUUUGAAUUUUGGAUGGUUCAAUAAAUUAAAAUGUUUGAAGUGGAUGGGGGUGAAAUAAAUUAAGAGGGAUGUGGAUGGAUGGGUUGUGAUGAAGUGCACUCUUAGUAGCUGGAGCCAUGAGAGUAGCUGGAACCAUGAGAGUAGCUGGGAGCAGAGUAGCUGGAUCCAUGAGAGGAGUAGCUGGGAGCGGAGUGUCCGUAGCUGGGAGCGGAGUAGCCGUGUUGUUGUUGUGGGUAAAGGUUCACGUUCUGGUAGGAGACGGCGGGUUCGCCGUGUCCGUAUGAAGAAGAUCCGUAUCCGGAUGAUCCAUGUCCGUAUCCGGAAGAACCGUGUCCGUAUGAGGAGGAACCGUAUCCAGAAGUUCCGGAAGAACCGUGACCGUAUGAAGAGGAACCGUAUCCAGAAGAUCCGGAAGAUCCGGAAGAUCCGUGUCCGUAUCCGGAAGAUCCGUAUUCAGCGGCGGCAACAACGACGACGGCGGCGAAGAUGAACCACUGAAAGCAAUAAAAUUUUACAGUUGAAAUAUCGGGGAACAUCAUACAAAGUGAUUAAAAAGUUCCGCACCAUCCCUAAAACCCGUAAGAUCUUGUCCCUUUUGGGGGUGAUCCCCUUACUUUUUGUUUCAGAGGGCGGGCGGGGGGCUUAAGUCGUUUCUUCUGACCCAGGAGCACUUGUUCAAGUCUCUAUCUCAAUUUGCUCAAAAGUUACAGGCGUGAUGCUAGAUGUUGGUAUGUGUAGGAUUCAGAGUUGUGGCGCACCAAUAUUAGAUUUAAAGGGCAUUUUGGAAACACAAUUUUAGGGGAUAGGUGCAAUUAAAAGCCUGGGAACCUAGGUGAAAAAUGAUAUAUGUGUAUUUUUUCCAUUAAAUAAAUAAAUAAAAAAUUAAAAUAAAAAAAAUGGAUAUGGUUGUUACCGUGUUACCUACUAAGGUAUUAUGGUUUCAAACAAGUUCUCAUUAAGUUGGACUUUGAAAGUCUUUGGAAGUCCAAUCAUGAAAUAGAAACAAAGUCUCGGCUUUUAAAAGGACAAGAUCCGAUCUGUGGUAAAGUAUCGAGCUAAAGUUAUGUGUUUCAAAGGUAACGUUUGAAAAUGCGUUUGUAGGAAUCACUUUGAUGUAAAUAUAUUCUCAAAUUUCUCAGCCUCAAAUAUGAAGCUCGUAUACAAUUUUAAUGUGUUAUGAAAACAUUAUGACUUACUUUGAAGAAGGCCAUUUUGAGUUUGGGUGUUGUUGUUGGUUGCACAGGGAACUGUAAGAAUUAACUGUGAAGAGUGAAUGAUGCUGAUUUGUUAGCGGCCAGCUUUUAUAUGUCUCCGAGUGCCUAAUCUAAGGCAUAAAAACCAGCACUUAGGAAGGACAUUUUCGCGAAAAGUCUGAAUGAAAAAAGCUCGUGAAAAAAAGAGCAAUAAAAAAACAGCGCAUUACGCUUGAUAAAAAGUUGUCAUGAUUGGAGAUGAUAAUGAGGAUAUUGAUUGAAUUUGUUUGUUGAUUGGUACGUCGGAAAGUGUUUUUCAUGAUGUAUCUGAAUACGUGUUGGUGAAUUAGCGUGCGUUUUCGUAGGAAGAGUUUAACUGGGUGUAUGUUGACAUCGGAUUUGAGAACGAAGGUCAUUGCAUCCUCGUAAACUCGUUCCGUGUAACAAUUCAAGAGAAAGAACAAGAGUUAAUGACAAAAGUUUUAUUCUCUCUGAUCCCAAAAUCGCAGUGACAUCCGUGUGUUUUUCGUGGUUGGUGCGUUCGACAUAUGCAUCUUCUAUCUGUGAUUAUAUCUUACCCUGAGCUUCCGGUAAACGAGAGUUUGCAAGUUUGCAAGUGGUUUAUUGUUCCAUUUCGGUUAACCGUAUCAAAAAUUUGCGUUUGAAUCCAUUAUUUUGAUGAAAAUAAAAAUUAUACUCCAUUAAUGUGAUUUUCUUGUGCUUUUUCCUAUCGUUAAGUAUUAUUCUUUCCUCAUAUUACGACAAUAAUUCAAUUUCUUAAUGUCUUUAUUCUUCACAUCAUUGCUGUGCCGUUAAAAAAAAAUUGAAAUAUGUUUUGCUGGUUUGCGUAUCUAUGUAUAAACAAUUUAUGGGUCGGCAUAUCUCGAGUAUCGCGUGUGUUAAAAAUACACACGGUAAAGUAUGUACAUUUUUGAAACAUCUUAAUAAGUAGUUAAGAUAAAUAAAACGUGUGAAAGAGUCUUAUCAGCAGCAUACUGACAGCUUUUUCCAUUUCUUCUGAAGACGUGGCCAGUUAAUCGUCUAAAAUCAAGAGGGCCUGACCCUUUUAAUGUAAAUUAUCUAGGUCCUUUUUGAUCGGUAAAACUGCAGAAAUGCAUAUCUCGAUUUGCGGCGUUUAAGUCUUUCUGUCAUAUUUUAUUUUCUGCACGGAAACCUAUACUGAACGACAUUUUUUGAUAACUUUGGUGAUUUUUUUUUCUAUUCGUGGUUAAUGAACAUUUUGAAAAUGUUAAGCCAUAAUAUUAGUUCAAUCAACUUUUAAAACAUAAAAUCGAAGCGGAGACUUACAGCAUUGCAACAGAGAUACGUAUUUUUGGAGUUUACUUCCGCGCGCAUUUUUGACGUGUAACAAUGAUAAUUUUCUCGAACAAUUUAAGAUCCGAUUUAAAUGAAUAUUUUAGUUUAAUUUUUAUACUGCUAAAAGGAACUUCUCGCCCCCCCCCCCCCCUAAGAAGUGCAGGUGUUCAGUUAACCAGGAUCCCAAGUGCUCUAUUUUUAUUUGUUUCUGUUGGACAGGACAUAGUAGCAUAGACCUAGUAGCAUUGGCUAUUUAAAAGAAGUUACAACUCGUUAAUUUUAGAGAGGAAAACUCUUGAAAACCCCUGAAAAUAUUCGAAUUAGGAAACCCUUUUUGUUUUUUAAGUGUGUGAAUACCACCUUACCUUUUUCCAAGUUUUUAUAACUUUAUCUUAGC
Molecule: long non-coding RNA, 3293 nt
Filed under: Bemisia tabaci
Lineage: Eukaryota; Metazoa; Arthropoda; Insecta; Hemiptera; Aleyrodidae
Description: lncRNA ENSSSA1NGG009511
Source: RNAcentral